RNAcentral lists this ribosomal RNA (456 nucleotides) under Ascomycota sp. Its description in RNAcentral is "LSU rRNA". It matches the Rfam family "Eukaryotic large subunit ribosomal RNA", at positions 198 to 668 of the family's 3401-position model. The record is from RNAcentral. Lineage: Eukaryota; Fungi; Ascomycota.
GGACGUCAUAGAGGGUGAGAAUCCCGUAUGCGGUCAGGUGCCUACGCUCAUGUGAAACUCCUUCGACGAGUCGAGUUGUUUGGGAAUGCAGCUCAAAAUGGGUGGUAAAUUUCAUCUAAAGCUAAAUAUUGGCCAGAGACCGAUAGCGCACAAGUAGAGUGAUCGAAAGAUGAAAAGCACUUUGGAAAGAGAGUUAAACAGUACGUGAAAUUGUUGAAAGGGAAGCGCUUGCAACCAGACUUGCGCGCGGCUGAUCAUCCGGGCUUCUGCCCGGUGCACUCGGUCGCGCUCAGGCCAGCAUCGGUUUUGGUGGCGGGAUAAAGGCCUUGGGAAUGUAGCUCCUCUCGGGGAGUGUUAUAGCCCAGGGUGCAAUGCCGCCUACCGGGACCGAGGACCGCGCUUCGGCUAGGAUGCUGGCGUAAUGGUUGUAAGCGACCCGUCUUGAAACACGGACCA